This 339-nucleotide long non-coding RNA is filed under the name Cercocebus atys (sooty mangabey). Its description in RNAcentral is "lncRNA (ENSCATG00000045805.1)". Lineage: Eukaryota; Metazoa; Chordata; Mammalia; Primates; Cercopithecidae. The record is from RNAcentral.
AUUAAAUUCAUAAUAAAUUUUAAAAAUGUGAUACAAAAUGAAUUUUUUAUGGUUUGUAAGAUUUAAGGUGCCUUUUCCCUUGUAAUAGAAGCUAUGUUUUUGCACAGAGAAGUAUGGUAUUUUAUGAGAAGACAUGCUAUGAAUGAUGAAAGGCUCUAUUUCAGCAAGUCACAGGCAGAAAAGUCCAAAACAAUGGAAUAGAACUGCAGCAUUGUUGAAAAAAAAAGUCCAGUGGAAUGAGCUGUCUCUUCAGGAAUAAAUCAGAAGAGAAAAGGUACAACUUAGGAGCAAAACAAGUCCUGGAUUUAAAACCAUGGCAAGCAGACUCCUCCACCGGGU